RNAcentral lists this ribosomal RNA (492 nucleotides) under uncultured bacterium. RNAcentral describes it as "partial 16S ribosomal RNA". It matches the Rfam family "Bacterial small subunit ribosomal RNA", at positions 29 to 507 of the family's 1533-position model. The record is from RNAcentral.
AGUGAACGCUGGCGGUAUGCCUAACACAUGCAAGUCGAACGGCAGCACAGUAAGAGCUUGCUCUUACGGGUGGCGAGUGGCGGACGGGUGAGGAAUACAUCGGAAUCUACUUUUUCGUGGGGGAUAACGUAGGGAAACUUACGCUAAUACCGCAUACGACCUGCGGGUGAAAGCAGGGGAUCUUCGGACCUUGCGCGAUUGAAUGAGCCGAUGUCGGAUUAGCUAGUUGGCGGGGUAAAGGCCCACCAAGGCGACGAUCCGUAGCUGGUCUGAGAGGAUGAUCAGCACCACUGGAACUGAGACACGGCCCAGACUCCUACGGGAGGCAGAAGUGGGGAAUAUUGGACAAUGGGCGCAAGCCUGAUCCAGCAAUACAGCGUGGGUGAAGAAGGCCUUCGGGUUGUAAAGCCCUUUUGUUGGGAAAGAAAAGCAGCAGGUUAAUACCCCGCUGUUCUGACGGUACCCAAAGAAUAAGCACCGGCUAACUUCGUG